AAAAGACUCUCGGCAACGGAUAUCUCGGCUCUUGCAUCGAUNNNNAACGCAGCGAAAUGCGAUACUUGGUGUGAAUUGCAGAAUCCCGUGAACCAUCGAGUCUUUGAACGCAAGUUGCGCCCGAAGCCAUUAGGCCGAGGGCACGCCUGCCUGGGUGUCGCACAUCGUUGCCCC
This 174-nucleotide ribosomal RNA is filed under the name Sophora velutina. RNAcentral describes it as "5.8S ribosomal RNA". The stretch from base 5 to 160 matches the Rfam family "5.8S ribosomal RNA". From Rfam's summary of the family: 5.8S ribosomal RNA (5.8S rRNA) is a component of the large subunit of the eukaryotic ribosome. Lineage: Eukaryota; Viridiplantae; Streptophyta; Magnoliopsida; Fabales; Fabaceae. The record is from RNAcentral.